GUGCGAAUAUAUUCUCGCCGGAUUGAUUUGUCAGUGAUCACUACCGGGCUAGACGUUCGCUAGAGGAACACUGGUCUGUGUCGUCGGUACUGGUCUAUUAAGCAGUACUGAUUCUAAAAGGCUGGUUACACUA
Bufo bufo (common toad) is the source of this 133-nucleotide small nucleolar RNA. RefSeq annotates it as small nucleolar RNA SNORA72. The record is from RefSeq and is a predicted model, not a curated record. The transcript has a single exon. NCBI's taxonomy places the organism in Eukaryota, Metazoa, Chordata, Amphibia, Anura, Bufonidae.